This is a long non-coding RNA of Carassius carassius (crucian carp), 1245 nucleotides long. RefSeq lists it as uncharacterized. The transcript has 3 exons. The record is from RefSeq and is a predicted model, not a curated record. NCBI's taxonomy places the organism in Eukaryota, Metazoa, Chordata, Actinopteri, Cypriniformes, Cyprinidae.
UCAAUAGAGAUCUCUCAAUCCUAUCGUAGAUGUUUUCUGGUGAUUUCAGCUCAUCUGCACUUUUCCUGUAAUGUAGAGAUAUUGUAUGUCCAUAGCUGCCAGGUUAUAUGAAUUGUUUUCAUGAUAGACUGAACUGUUGAGUUUCCAUCAUUGAUUCACCUGUUCAUUAAUUUACCUCUUGUGAAGCUAGACGUUUCAUGCUUUUGGAAUAAAACUAAUUCAUAAUGAAGUCAUUUUAUUUAGUCCUUUCUCCAUACUAUUGCUUCGUCCAGUGAAAGGUUUUUGUAUUUUUCUGCAUGUGUUGUUUUAAUCAGCUAGAGGAAUCAUGAUGUUUGCCUGCGUCCCCAUGCCAACACUUCGAGCCAUGCUGUCCAAGAAUCUGCAUCCUCAGCAAUAUGGGCGAGUUUUUGGGCUGCUCCAGCUGGUUCUGGCUGUGACUGAUCUCUUGUCUAAUGUCUUUUUCACCUCGAUUUACCCACUUACUCUCGGCUGGUUCAGUGGCUUCUGCUUCCUUCUCUCCUGCGCCAUUAGUUACAUCAGUGCCGUCCCGAUCAUUUAUCGAAGUGGCAGAGACUUGAGACUUGGAUCCAUUUGUGAUGAUGAACACUUACAUUGAAAUGUGUCUGUUCUUAUUUUGAUUCAGUACUAUGGAGCUGCAAAAGAAUUGCAUUCCUUGCAUUGCCCAAAAAACCUUCAUGUUCUCUCACAAAAGUGUUGAAAUCCCAGGAGAAAUGUUUAAGCUCACAAAACUUUUGCAAGAGAAUAUGAAACUCUGGCAAAAGGACACAAAAAUUUUGCACGCAAAAGGAAAGUUUCUCAAGGUAACGCAAAAGAUUUGCACACAAAUGUAAAGCAUGUUUUUUUUUCUUCUCUGAUUAAUUUCUCUUUAAUGACUGUAUAUUUGUAUUAGACAUAUUCACAUAACUAUAUCUACUGUCAAAUUUCAGCUAACUUUGCAUGACAUAAAAUUUGAUUGCAAUAAUACAAAGUGCAAUACACAAUAAUAUAACAUCAAAGAACUGAUGAAAGAACUAAUGAAAGUAUGAUAUAAAAGUCUGUCUAGCUUUCUUGCAGGAGACAUAGUUUGGUAAAAUAUGUCUUGUUUAAAGUGGAAAUAGCUUUUGGUCUUAAUAUGAAAUUUUAUCAGCAUUUUAGGACUGGACACAUGAAGUGUCAAAUGUUUUCAGCAGCUCAGCAUUGGUUUCACCUGUUACAGUGAAUAGUCUUUGUUUCUGGUAUUUGUUA